AGUGGAUUAUUCUAAACGGCCGCAGAAUUUUAACUGUGCUAAGGUAGCAUAAUCAUUUGUUCUUUAAUUGAGGACUAGUAUGAAUGGUUUAACGAAAUUAUACUAUUUUUUUUAUAUCUAAUAAAAUUUUAUCUUAAAGUCAAAAAGCUUUAAUAAAAUAAAAAGACAAAAAGACCCUGUAGAGUUUAAUUUCUCAUGUUAAAAAUAAUCUUUUAGAAAUUUUGUUGGGGCAACAUGGAAAAAAUAAAUUUUUCUUAACUUAAAAUCCUAUAUAAAAUCAUUAAUUUAAUAAAACAAAAUAAAUUACCUCGGGGAUAACAGCGUAAUUUUCUUUGAGAGCCCAAAUCGAAAAGAAAAAUUACA
Molecule: ribosomal RNA, 363 nt
Filed under: Proneomenia franziae
Lineage: Eukaryota; Metazoa; Mollusca; Solenogastres; Cavibelonia; Proneomeniidae
Description: partial large subunit ribosomal RNA
Source: RNAcentral